AUGACACAUUUCAUGAUAUAUAUAUAUAUAUAUAUAUAUAUAUAUAUAUAUAUAUAUAUAUAUAUAUAUAUAUAUAUAUAUAUAUAUAUAUAUAUAUAUAUAUAUAUAUAUAUAUAUAUAUAUACAUACAUAUACAAGUCCAGCACAUUUCAUGACAGGGAUUUGCUUGUUCUUUCAUGGCUCAUCUUCUCCCAUAACCUGUUUUCUAACCGUGUGACUGUCAUUUGUUCUCUGUUUCAGCAAGAGGACCCUUCUCUCUCCCACCGCAUGCAUAGUAUCCGGAGCAUAAACCAGGACCCUGCUGGACUUCAUGAUGACCCUGUCCAGCCUCUCAGUGAUGCUGCUGCAUUGUCAAAACAUCAAAGAAUAGAUGACUCCAUUCCUGGACCGGGACGUUUCCAACCUGUUCUCCUCUUCCAACCCCCCACCUCUCCACUCACCACAACUGGCCAUGGCAGAUGACUAUUCAACAGGAGUCUUGUUCUGAUUGCGGUCCCUUCCAUUAAACAGCUACAACUGCAGCUUUGUGCUCCUACUGUGAUCCUUCCUGUAGAUUUGCUUUUGAGAACAUUUGUCUUAAUUUUGUAACAUAUUACCGUAAGGGACCAAAGAGUGUGUGGAUAAAUCAUUCAACUUUUGGUCGGACAUUAAGGUCAAUACUAAUGAGAGAGUUCAGUUCACUUUAAAGCUUUUCUUCUUGAUGGUUUGCACAUCUGGUGGGUUUGAAUUACACAUGGUUCAUCAGGAAAUAUUUUGGUCCUGUUAGUAAAGCCACACAACUGUUCUAGUGCAGUGUAUUUAUUAUGUUAAAAGCUACAUGUCUGAAAAUUCAGGAGAGGUUGAUGGUUGCAAAAAACACACAAUCUACUGCUCCGAAGCAAUCGCUUAUGUUUGUCAUUUUCUAUAUUAUCAAAGCAUACAGCUAAUUUAUGAUACUGUCAUUGUCACUUUAUUUGCGCGCUAUGACAUGCAUGUGAUACAUACUAAGAGAUUCAUAGUGUUACUUAUGAAAACGGUGAAGAAAAUUCAAGCCAUGGAUUCAGGUAGGUCCACUCAAGUCCCUGUGCCCUUUGCUGUCACCUGCUGCUGUCCAGAACGGUUGACAUCUGGCCCAGUUACCACGAGGGAACUUGCAGGUAACUUCACCGGGGCGAAAGUUUAAUAAUAAGAAAACCUUUAAUAGUCCUGCAGUUGGGAAAUUACUUCUCACAACAGCAGUACAGAUAAGCGAGAGUACAGCUACAGAACAGUUUGUGUUGGCACAGUACAAAGCAGUACAGUUGGAGUGAGUAUGAGGUCAUUGCAGGGUUAUUGCACAGUAAUGGGUAUAAGAUUUGUACCGGUAACAAUAUACAUGAUUGUUUACAGAUUUACACAAAUGUUGUGCAGAGCAGGUUGCUACAUAAACCACUGAUACAGUACUAAUUGUACAGUCUGACAGCAGCAGGUAGGAAGGAUCUACGAUAUCUCUCCUUUACACAGCGAGGGUGGAUCAGUCUGCUACUGAAGCUGCUCUCCAGAGCAGACAGUGAGUCCUCCAGUGGGUCAGAGUCCUGGUCCGUGAUGGAUGUCAGUUUAGCCAGGACCCUUCUCUCACCCACCUCCUGCACCGUGUCCAGAGUGCAGCCCAGGACAGAGCUGGACUUGUUGAUGAUCCUGUCCAGUCUCUUCCUGUCCCUCACUGUGAUGCUGCUGCUCCAGCAGACCACACCGUACAGGAUGGCCAAUGCAUUUUCAUUCUUUAAUGAACUAUGCACAUUUGGCUAAGGUGAAGACUUUAUAGUUUAUAACAACAUACAUUAAAUUAUUUUAGGAGUCCUUCUUGCAAGCAAGUCCAAUUAACUGAAUGCCCAAUUAAAUCCUGUACUUAUUUACAGGCAAUAUCAUUCAUGUGUCUGCUGCUCAGAUUACACUGUGCAGGUAAAGAGACACAAAAUAACAGCACCUCUUGGUGCACUUCCUUUGUAGAAAGCAAGCACAACUUACUCUUCACACACCCCACAAAGCACUGCUCAUUGAUGGUCAUUCCUACACACAAUCCCCUAACUUGCGGUGUACCACACAAAACAGAAGAAUAGGAGUGACCCCUAAUGAUGAACAAUUUUUUGAUGAGGCUCUUCUUGUUGACAUUAGAGACUAAUCUUUGCGUUUACUUUCAAAAUUUUUAUAUUUUAAUGUUAUUUUUAAUCACUGAAUGCUCUAAAAUAAAAAUAAAAAUUAUAAACUCA
RNAcentral lists this long non-coding RNA (2228 nucleotides) under Betta splendens (Siamese fighting fish). Its description in RNAcentral is "lncRNA (ENSBSLG00000026053.1)". The record is from RNAcentral. Lineage: Eukaryota; Metazoa; Chordata; Actinopteri; Anabantiformes; Osphronemidae.